CGUUAAAAGUUUCAUCUAUUUGUACUCUUAAAAAUUGGUGUGGUUGACGGAAUAACCAGAUAGUAACACAUGUUGUGCCACAUGUACUUUAUGUUGAUGUAGAGGAAUCAGUUUUAAUCAGUAGAAAUAGAUACAAGGGUUAAUU
This 145-nucleotide microRNA precursor is filed under the name Gossypium arboreum. Its description in RNAcentral is "MIR7502 microRNA precursor family". It matches the Rfam family "MIR7502 microRNA precursor family". Lineage: Eukaryota; Viridiplantae; Streptophyta; Magnoliopsida; Malvales; Malvaceae. The record is from Rfam by way of RNAcentral.